RNAcentral lists this transfer RNA (53 nucleotides) under Romanomermis culicivorax. Its description in RNAcentral is "tRNA-Pro". Lineage: Eukaryota; Metazoa; Nematoda; Enoplea; Mermithida; Mermithidae. The record is from RNAcentral.
UUAGAUAAAGUGUUAAACAUAUUAUUUUUGGAUAAUAAUGAAAUUCAUCUAUA